ACGCACGCUGGCGGCGUGCCUAAUACAUGCCAGUAGAACGCUGAAGGAGGAGCUUGCUCUUCUGGAUGAGUUGCGAACGGGUGAGUAACGCGUAGGUAACCUGCCUGGUAGCGGGGGAUAACUAUUGGAAACGAUAGCUAAUACCGCAUAACAGUAGAUGUUGCAUGACAUUUACUUAAAAGGUGCAAUUGCAUCACUACCAGAUGGACCUGCGUUGUAUUAGCUAGUUGGUGGGGUAACGGCUCACCAAGGCGACGAUACAUAGCCGACCUGAGAGGGUGAUCGGCCACACUGGGACUGAGACACGGCCCAGACUCCUACGGGAGGCAGCAGUAGGGAAUCUUCGGCAAUGGACGGAAGUCUGACCGAGCAACGCCGCGUGAGUGAAGAAGGUUUUCGGAUCGUAAAGCUCUGUUGUAAGAGAAGAACGAGUGUGAGAGUGGAAAGUUCACACUGUGACGGUAUCUUACCAGAAAGGGACGGCUAACUACGUG
This 494-nucleotide ribosomal RNA is filed under the name uncultured bacterium. Its description in RNAcentral is "partial 16S ribosomal RNA". It matches the Rfam family "Bacterial small subunit ribosomal RNA", at positions 29 to 507 of the family's 1533-position model. The record is from RNAcentral.